Molecule: long non-coding RNA, 5189 nt
Organism: Dendrobium catenatum
Lineage: Eukaryota; Viridiplantae; Streptophyta; Magnoliopsida; Asparagales; Orchidaceae
Exons: 2
Source: RefSeq, a predicted model, not a curated record
AAUAGGAAAAUAUUUGGUCAAUCCACCUUGUGUUUGAACACAAGUAAUAAGGCAAAAAAAAAGUGUGAGUUGUAUAAAUUAUUCAGCAGACACAACAAUAGAGAUCAAGUAAAAUCAUGAUUAGCUAGGAGAUAAAUUUAUCUAUUGGAGCCAUUCAAUAGCAGUUGGAGUUGUACCCGAUUAUCCCACUUUUUGCAAGGUUGGGGCAACGCUACCCAAACUAAUGCUCGCUUGUCAGAAGAUAAACGUAUGACUUGCUAUAACCAUGAUAUACCCAAAAUUAGAGAUAGGAAAUGUUAUAUUUCUCAUUACAUACUUUCAAAUUGGGCCCUCAAAGAAAAAUUUCUCCAACGCUAAAUUUUGUUUUGUUGUAGAUGCAUCUAUAAAAUGGGAGAUAAGAAGUUUGACAUUAAGAAUCACAUUAUCAAUGUCUAUAGGGAAUGUUAUCUCUCUCAGAUUUUAGAGCAAUUGUUAAAUUAGAGUGUUUAUUGGGUAACAAUAAUCUUAUUUCACAUUUACCAUGUCUUCAAACUUACACUCUCAGAAGAUUGCACUCAAGUUAAAUUAGAGCAAAAGUGGAAGCUAGUGAGCAGAACGUGCACGUUUGUGUGUGUGCGUGUGUGAUAACUUAAGGUAGCAGAGCAUUGCAUAAAUUAUUGACAUGUUAUGUUGCUCUUUUAGUAAAUAAGAUAUAGAUUGGCAAGUAAAAUGAAAUGGAUUAGGUGACAGCACAAUAGUCCAGUAGAGAAAUGAUUCUUAAAUUUGGUUAGCAUAAAAGACUGAAGAAAGGUGCACCUGUUAGCUUGGAAAAGAUUCAUGAAUAGACAUUUUUUAUACAUAAGAAACUUUGAACAAUUAAAAAAUAUUCAUGAAUUAUUAUAAUGAGAAACAUCAUUAAGUCCAUGUCCUAUGCUCCAUAGUGCUUUUGGAAAUCUCGAUUGAUUAUGUAAGUAUAACACGAGUGGGUUCUUUGAGGCGUUAUUACUGUCACAUUGUGCACUUUGAAGAGAUCCAUUAUUGAUAGCAAUUUAAUGUUUUUUGUACUAGUGAAAUAAAAUUGUUGAGUAAUAUAUUAUAAUCAUACUCAGUUACCGAAUCAAGAUUUGCAUAAUUAGGAUUAAAUAAGCCGCCAUUCAUAAGAGGUAUUUGUUAGGGCUCAAAAACACUGCUGCUACGGAGCUACCUCAAUCCACGAUGUGUUCCACCCCUGUCAAGAUGUUUUGAAAUCCUGGUUCAAAAAUUUGCAUAAAUUUAUAUAAAACACAAGGGCAAUAUAAGGAAUCUAAAAGAAUCUAAAGAAAAUCAAGUUGAGGAAUUCUGCAGCAGUGAAUCAUACAAGAAACUCAGAAGAAUUAAGAUCCGAGAUGGACUUUGCAACAAUGGCCUGAUCACCUUCGCAAUCAACAAUAGAGAAGAGGAAAAGAGCAGAAUAUUUACCUUUUGCGUAAUAGCGGAAGUUGGCGUUUGGCAAUGUAGUGACAAUUUGCAUUCGGAUUGAAAGAAACCAUAGGCAAGUCACUCAACAUGAAAUGAUAUGAAAAAUAAGAAACACAUUUGCAAUCAGCGGUAGAGAAGAGUUAUAGAGCAGUACUAUAGAAUGGUUGGAGGUGUUUGAAGGAAAUGCAAUGGCACAAUUGAGUAUUAGAUUCUGAAAUUGGUAGGUGUCAUAGGUGUUACAUGGAGACGUGGAGUCGUGGGUGAUUUAUUCAUGAGGAGAAAUAAGAAAUUGUGAUGUGAGCGAACAUGUAUUUUUUAUCGCCAAUUAUGUUAACAUUUUUUUUUGUUUAGCGCCAAAUAUAGUUGUGUUCUAAUAGGUAUUUUUUAGGACAUUUAAUUAAAAAUAUCUUAAUAUUUCUGUAGUAAAAAAUUAAUUUUUUUAGCAUGCUUGCAUGUUUCUUAUUUUAUCCAAAGCCUUAGUUAAUCUUUAGUAUAAUUUUCAUAAUUAAAAUAUUUUUUAAAUUGAAAUUGAUAGCUUCUUACUUUACAUCAUACAUUCAUAUACUGUGUUGCCUCUGUUUUUUUGCUCCUUUUUUGAAAUUUCUUUAGUAAACAAUUACCUCACUUUUUUCCAGGCAUCCAUCAUUCAUGCAAGAAACACCAUUUGUGUACUUGCUAUUGAGCUAAAUCUAUACUGUCUUGUAACCUUAAGAAAUUAAUUCUUUCUUUGGAUGGUAUCAUAAAUCCUUGUUAUCUAUCUAACCUCUCUAAUGGAAGACCUGAUCCCCUAGAAUUAAAUAAAUCAUGUUCUAUUAUUUAUGAGAAAUAUUUAGGAUAUAUUUUUAAUCUGCUUUUCAUGGAAUCUCAUAUUGAUUUUGUCUCGACCCUAUGGGGUGGUACUUUAAUCUUCAAUGUGAGGAUUUCUUGGAGCCCUGACUUUGAUGCAUUAAGUCAGGGGUUGGAGAACUUGUUAAAAGAAGCCAUUUCUUAAUCCUAGCAAGGGAAUAUUUUUUGGGGAUAGAGUAAUUCUUGAAGCAGGGGAGUCUGAAGCAUUCAUAUCACACUGACUUAAACCUACUCAAGUGCGAGUAGAUUGCCGAAGAGCUUGUUGUGUGCUGAAAGAAGUAGGUGUUGAUCAAUUGGGGAAUAAAGUAAUAUCAAUGUAGUCAAACCUAGCAAAAUCUUGAAUUGUGAUGAUUCAAAAUAUGCAUUGCAUUAUAAGUGACAUUCUUGGCAUGGAGUCAACAAUGUUUCACAAUAAAUGAAUACUAAUUCAUUAGGGUUAUUUGGGACAUCAACCCAAAAGAGCAGUAGUAUCCUAGUUUGAAAAUUUGGACCUCAUUCAACCAAAAGCCAAAGUGGGAAAGUAGAGGGACUUAAGUGUCAAAAGGCCAAUCUUUCAUUGUUUUGAAAAUAUAGCUUCCUUCAAGAAUGGAGAGCUUCAAUCAUAGAAAUUAGGGCUCACAGGGCCCUAUCACGGAUGAAAUGGGGAAUAUCAUUUGGUUUUAGCAUUUAAAGUUGGGGCUUACAUGAAUCAUAAACUGCACUGGUAGAUGGUGCCUUGGGCUUUGAUGAAAUUUAGUAUAAGGUUUAAGGAAUGUUGGGCUGACAGCAACAAGUUUAAAAACUUUAAUUUUUUUUUUUUUUUAAUUUGUUUGUUUCUUUAAGGAUUUAGCAGUAAGGUUGGCUACCUUAGGCAUUCAGUAGGGUUGACUCAAAAGGUCAAAAUCAAAGGAUUUAAAUUUUGGGAGAUGUCGAGCAAGGCAUUGGGCCAAGUUCAAAGGAACUAAGAAUAGGCUCAGGACAUCUCGAUUAUGUUUACCUCCUAAUGUGCGAAACAAGAGGAUCAAGUUUAAUCAGAAUGUACUGCUCAGGAAUGAAACUAGGUUCCCCCAGGACUAAGUGAUGUGUGGCUCUUGGAUGAUGCUUGUAAAGAGAAGGAUUUGGACUCAACCUAGUUUAAUAUCCUAAAUCACGCUUGGAUUUGGUCUUCGUUGGGAAUCCAAGAUAAGAUUUGUUGCUGGUUUUAUUUUCCUUGAACACCCUCGAGUAGUAGAGAACAAAACUAGGGAAAAGCAAGCGAUGUUUCACUGAGGAAUAGAAUAGCUUUGUCAAGGACAAGAAGUGUCAAUUCAUUGAGAAUCUAAGAUGGGUUUGGCAUGAGUUUUGUUUACCCAGACCAUGCUUUAUAGGGCUAAACUAGUGUUCAUGUUGGGUGGCUGAAUUGAGAUGAGGCCCCCCAUGAACUUGUAACGUAUUCAUUUUACGCAUAUAUGAACUAAUAUCAAAAGUCUUGUUGAGGAACUAGUGGAACAUCAAUAUGAGUUUUGGUCACUUAGAUAUUGUGGGGAGCUAAACUAGGAGAGAAAGGGGUUGGGUUAUGUGAAUCUAACCGUGGUCCAUCCUGUAUAUGGACGAACCGGAGGGACUUGGCCUCCCUGAAGAUUUUGAAGUGAAUUGUGUUGUAGGUUUUGGAGCAUCAAUCUCAACAUCAAAGCGAAGGGCAAUAUCUGAAUUUGGAUGGCACCCCUCGUUAGACUAUCUGCUUGGAACCCAACCGGGGAUGCCUCUACAGGCUUUAGUGGCAAGCUACAGAAAUUUUCCUUGCACCACCAAGUUCAUGGGCGUCAAGUUCCGUUAAUAUGAAUGACCCUGUUCAAAUGGACAUUAAUAGUAUAAUGGUUAUAUGCUGUUAUGAAAAUCACUAUAACAUAUUUUUAAAAACAAUUAUAAUGUUCAUUAAUAUUCUUUCAUGAAACUCUCAUAUUUAGAAGUACUUUUACAUUAACUAUGAACUUUUUUUUUCCAGUUUAGAGUUUCAUCCAUAAGCAUUGUGAUUACUUGCUGGCUUGAUAUUAUCAGACCAGAUUUAUUUGUUGACUAGUAUAAAUUUCGGUUAAGAUAUUUUCAGUUAAUGGUUAGAAUCAUUGAAUGACAUAAUGGUUUGGAUUAAAUAUAAUAAAUGGCUCAGAUCUUCUGUUAGUGGCAUUUCAAGAAAACAAUUGAUUUGAUCAACCAUCCCUGCCAUGUUGGGUUCUCUAAACAAAGAUUUCGUGAUCUAUUUUGGCGUUCAUCAUUGUUAUCUUACAGAUCCCUCCAACAAGGGCUCGAUCCCCAAAGCUUGGACGUCACAAGCCCUCUAACACUGCGGCUAACAAUUCCUCAGAAGAUAAUGACUCAACUCAAUUCCCCGAGUCUGAGCUCAACUCAGUCAAGCAGUAUGGAGCUGCAGCAACUGCACUUGAUGGUGCAGCUCCCAAGAAAACUGCCACCCAGAAGUCAAUUUCAAAACCAACUUCUCUGAAAUCAGCAACUACUAGACCUGAAACUAAAGCUACUGCUUCAAAGAUUAAAGCUUCAAACAUAAAGAAAAAAAUGGAAAAAGGAAAGGCGGAAGAAAGAGAGAACGAAGAAGAACAUGAGAUCAAACCUGUUGAAGAAUCUCCUGUAGAUGCCGCUGCCGAAGUUGAGGAAGUUUCAUAAAAAUCAUUUGGAGGAAAGCACUCAGUACACCGAAGCUGGAAUGGGGGAAUGAAAAGCUUUUUUAAAGGAAUGAUCAACAAACUUAACAUACGGAGAUGAACAAACAAUCAUGCAAAGCUGAGGGAGAAAUUAUAACAAACUUUAAAAAUACUUUUACUUUGUGUCUUUAAACUACUUCACCUACAAAAUUAUGUUGAUUUUGGAGUUUGAUGUUUUUAUCAUUUCAGUGGUCAAGUUAUUGAUAGUUAAUGUAUUCUUUCAUCAGCGUA